AAGAUUUUAUGAUAAACCUUAAUCAUUUAACCUUCAAAGUUAAAAAUAUAAAAAAUUUUAUAAAUCUUA
This 69-nucleotide transfer RNA is filed under the name Vespa basalis. RNAcentral describes it as "tRNA-Trp". Lineage: Eukaryota; Metazoa; Arthropoda; Insecta; Hymenoptera; Vespidae. The record is from RNAcentral.